This 221-nucleotide ribosomal RNA is filed under the name uncultured bacterium. RNAcentral's name for it is "partial 16S ribosomal RNA". It matches the Rfam family "Bacterial small subunit ribosomal RNA", at positions 28 to 253 of the family's 1533-position model. The record is from RNAcentral.
GACGAACGCUGGCGGCGUGCUUAACACAUGCAAGUCGAGCGGAAAGGCCCUUCGGGGUACGUCGAGCGGCGAACGGGUGAGUAACACGUGAGUAAUCUGCCUCUAGCUCUGGGAUAGCUCCGGGAAACCGGGAUUAAUACCGGAUACGACCACUCAAGACAUCUUCUGUGGUGGAAAGAAUUUCGGCUAGAGAUGAGCUCGCGGCCUAUCAGCUUGUUGGU